UAAAGAAGUAUCACAUAGGAAAAAAAAAGCAAACUGAAUGCUUAAUAGAAAAAAAUAUUAUAAUACUUCUUGGAAGGAACCAAAAUGACAUUCUUUUAAAUAAAAGUGACUUGCAGUUAUUGAGACUUCAUAUAUGGGCUGAACAGCCCAGAAAUGAAUGAAUUUUUUUCUUAUUUACUCCCCUGUAGUAGUCUAGGAAAGGGGUACUGGUGUUAUCUCCAUUUCGCAUUUAAGGACUCUGAGUCUCAGUGUGAUUAAUUGGGAUUUGCCUAAGAUAAUAAGUGGCAGGGCCUCGAACGAUACUCACUUCCUCUAGAAGUGUCUGUUCUUCUUCCCUUUGUCACACUGUACGAAUCGGGCUCUUACCACCCCGACCAGGGAUCAAACCUGUGCCCUUGCACUGGAAGGUGGCUUCUUAACCACAGGGCCACCCAGGGAAGUCCUAAGUGUUCAUUUUUAUAUUCCCAUCUCCUGAGUCUUAUUUCAGGCCCUUACCAUCUCAUUCUCCAAUUGUUGCAGUGAGUCACUUAUCCAGAGCAAAGGAGGAACAAAGGUCUAGAAAUUUCUUUUCUUGUUCAUUUUGAAGAUCAUGCUAGAACCAUCUCCUACAAUCUUGAUCUGAUACCUUCCCUAGUCGUAAAACACUGAUCACUCUCACUGCACAGAACACAGGUCAAACUUCUUUGACAUCCCAGCAUCUUCUCCUGCGCCUUGGCCUACUUAUCUGGUCUUUUCCAUCACUAGCUCUUCCACUCAAGGCUGCAGUGUAUAAUUCAGCACUGAGAGCCUGCUCGAUCCUGUGCAGUGACCUGCUUUAAAGGGCCCAAAUGCUAGCCCAUUUUUGAAACAUCCCUUGGGCUCUCCAGCUCCAUUUCCAUUUCAUCUUUCUUGAAUGCCUUCCACCACCAUUUGUCUACUGAGAUCUUAUCAUAUUCAAAUGACUGCUCAUCUUAUUCAUCUUUGAUUACAUCUUUCCCAAUCACCUUGGUCAGAAGCAGUUUCUCUUUUUCAGCAUUCAGAUAAUAGUUUAUUUUGAACCGUGUAUAUGCUGUUAUUCUCAUAUUGCUUUGGAUAGUAAUCUGUCUAAUCUCUUCUACUAUAUUUCAAUCAUCUUGAAUAUAAGGAAUUGUAAGAGUCAGGAUAGGUUAGGCUAUGGUACGUCACCAACAAUGACAAAAAUUCAGUGGGUGCAAAUGCAAAUGUAUAAUUCUAUCAGCUCUGAACUUGGCUUCCACAGCAUCAUCCUCUGCC
This 1251-nucleotide long non-coding RNA is filed under the name Bos grunniens (domestic yak). RNAcentral describes it as "lncRNA (ENSBGRG00000015881.1)". The record is from RNAcentral. Lineage: Eukaryota; Metazoa; Chordata; Mammalia; Artiodactyla; Bovidae.